AAUCAAACAUCGAAAAAAUAUUAAAUACAGAGAUAAACAUUUUUCUUUCAAUCCGAGAUGGGAGUGGCCUUAUGCAGCAUAUGGAGGAUUUUUAUUACAUUUCACUGCUUCAGUAUGUGAGAUCAAAUUAUCAAAUUGUCGCAAGGUCACCAACCAAUGAAGAAGGUAGCCUAUGACUAUGACAGCACAGCCAAGGUUAAAUUUUAUUUUUCUUCUAUAAAUACUGAAAUAUUCUUUUUUUGUAAACUUGUGAUAUGACCACAAUAGACAAUAGUUCCUAAAAGAGUUCCAUUUCCUCAAAUUUAAUGUCCCACCACCUGAGGUUCUCACUACCUAUGCUUCAAUACAGCUUUCAUAGGCUAAAAAAUGUUUCAGUUCCAUUAAUUUUUCGAAUUGCAAAAUUAUGUACAGUUGGUGAUUGUAAUAAUUUCAUGAACUUACACGAUUGUCAUGAUCUGUUCUAUACUUUUUUUGUUCUUGUU
Molecule: non-coding RNA, 482 nt
Organism: Camellia sinensis
Lineage: Eukaryota; Viridiplantae; Streptophyta; Magnoliopsida; Ericales; Theaceae
Source: RefSeq, a predicted model, not a curated record